UACGAAGGGGGCUAGCGUUGUCCGGAAUUACUGGGCGUAAAGCGAGUGCAGGUGGUUGUCCAAGUUGGAUGUGAAAGCCUUGAGCUCAACUCAAGAAAUGCAUUCAGGACUGGGCGGCUAGAGGACCGGAGAGGAUAGUGGAAUUCCCAGUGUAGUGGUGAAAUACGUAGAGAUUGGGAAGAACACCAGUGGCGAAGGCGGCUAUCUGGACGGUUUCUGACACUAAGACUCGAAAGCGUGGGGAGCAAACAGG
Molecule: ribosomal RNA, 253 nt
Filed under: uncultured bacterium
Lineage: Bacteria
Description: partial 16S ribosomal RNA
Rfam family: Bacterial small subunit ribosomal RNA
Source: RNAcentral